CCUACGGGUGGCAGCAGUGAGGAAUAUUGGUCAAUGGGCUUACGCCUGAACCAGCCAAGUCGCGUGAGGGAAGACUGCCCUAUGGGUUGUAAACCUCUUUUGUCAGGGAGCAACGCCGGCUACGUGUAGCCGGACUGAGAGUACCUGAAGAAAAAGCAUCGGCUAACUCCGUGCCAGCAGCCGCGGUAAUACGGAGGAUCCGAGCGUUAUCCGGAUUUAUUGGGUUUAAAGGGAGCGUAGCCGGGAAGGCAAGUCAGAUGUGAAAUCCGGAGGCUCAACCUCCGAAUUGCAUUUGAAACUGUUUAUCUUGAGUACUGGAGAGGCAGACGGAAUUCCUUGUGUAGCGGUGAAAUGCGUAGAUAUAAGGAGGAACACCAGUGGCGAAGGCAGUCUGCUGGACAGCAACUGACGGUGAGGCGCGAAAGCGUGGGGAGCAAACAGGAUUAGAUACCCUUGUAGUC
Molecule: ribosomal RNA, 461 nt
Filed under: uncultured bacterium
Lineage: Bacteria
Description: partial 16S ribosomal RNA
Rfam family: Bacterial small subunit ribosomal RNA
Source: RNAcentral